GGUUGUGGUUAUUGUAGUUUUGCCCUUUCCCUCAAGCAGCCAUCAACAUGGAUUAUUUUCCUCACUUUUUUUCUUUUUUUUGGGAUAAACCAGGAAAACUUACAUGGUCCUUGGGAAAACACAUCCCAGAGCAUCAGUUAGAGCUAGUUCACAAAGAGCCAGAGGAAGGUCAGUACAAGAGAAAGAAAUGUUACCAUGAUCAGCUACAUAGUUAACAGUCCAGUCAGCCGCUUGAUUGCCCUUGUGGUAGGUGUGUGAGAUGUGGAAUGAUUCAAGGUCCUGAGUGACUAGCAGAAUAUCCAGCAACAAGAGAUGAUUUCUAGAUGUAAGAGAUGGCAAGUGGUUGAUCCAGACUGGCCCUCAAGCCAUAUAUGAAAUGCCCUCAGAAUUUUGACUGUGCAGCAGACACCUUCCCAUUUAGCAGACAGGUCCAUCAUGGCUACAUUUCUACUCCGUUGGAAGCUGCCACUGGCUGCUACAGUGGCUCCCAUGUGAUCGUGGAUAAUGUGUCCAGCACCACAGCGGGUCUACCUCCCUCAUUGAUGGACCUGCCGAAAACAUCAACAUUAUAACCUGAAAAUUUUUUGAACCAUGGAAGACAUGCUGUAGGUACAAACUUUUUUAUACCUAAAUAUCUAGAAAAAUUACAGCUCCAAAACCAUGGCUGUAAUGGGCUUGUAACAUUUGAUGUCUCAGUUAUCACGAGUCUAUGAAAUAUCUGGACCUCCAAAGAACCUUAAAAUAUGCUGUGGAAGCUCAUGUCCACAACACUGUAAAUCUGAAAUGGAAGCACUGUACCAUAUUUCUUGAUCUAUACAUGAGGUCACUGUGGUGAGCAGAACCUGGACUUGAAAACAAGAAUGAUUGGAAAGGUAAACCAUUUUACCUAAUCUCUUUUUUUUUCCCAUUCUCGUGAAAUUAGAUCAAUAAUUUAUUGUUGGACAGAAGUUUUUAGUUAGCAUAACUUUAAAAUUAUUUUCUAUUUUCAGUUUAAUUACAACUUAUGCAGAGGACAGAUUCUAAUUUAGUUCAUUCAUAUUUUGCCUUUUUAUGAUAAGAAAUUCAUAGUUUGCUUUCAAGACUACACGACUGAUAUAAAAUAUACUUGUUCAACUAGCAUGCUUUUAUGAGAGAAAUGUUCUUUCUUUUAUACAGGUGCCUGUUUUCUUUUUUCCACUCGGAGACCUUGAUAGAUCUUCUAUGUUCCUGUUAAUUUAAAUCAUUGCCAGUACAUUUUUAGCAAUUGAACUUACACAAUGAGCAUGGUCGAUGUAAUUCAUGGUGGGCAAUUCGAUAUCUUUGUCGUUGAACUCCUCUAUCUUUCAACUUGUACCACAUAAUUGCCUUAAUUCAGCAGUCUUUUUCACUAAGCAUUCACAGCUUGCUCAUAAAUCUGCGAAUUUAUAGCUAGAUCCAAAAAAUAAUCAUUCUGGCUCUUGUGAGCCCUAAGGUUCUAAUCUCAGAGAUACUGAUGCAGCAAAGGAUGCAGCUAAUAGGUAUUAUGACCAGCUGGACCAUACUAAGUUUCACAGGAACCAACUGAUAAAUGAAGAUAAUAUCAAAAUUUAGCCAAAUUUCUAUAUUUAUAGUAGCUAAGUUCUAGCAAGUUCUUUUAUUACCUAUUCCUAUUUCUAGUAUGAUUUUGUACUUUAUGUCCUUCAUAUGCUUCUAAUAUAUUAUAUGAAGAGAGUUUGCGACAUGUUAGUAGUAGAACAACUGUCAGAGAGAGCACGCUUCAUCAAGCUAAUGGUUUUUCGAUCCAAUUUAUUUUUGAUUCAUAUGUAUUUUCUGAAAUUUAAUUCCAGCAAUCAACUUGCUCUUCUUCACAUACAACCACAGCUAAAGCGAAUCUCUGCCAAUAAAAUUUGACACCUCUAGGGUGAACAAUAAUAGAAAUUAACAUUGAAGGUUUUCAAAACAGGCAAAUGAGACAUAGGAUGCAACCACCGACAGCAAAGAAGGAACCUGAAAAAAAAAAGGAUCAGAGCAAAACGAAUAGGACACUGUAGAAAUUAGCAUUUGAAGGUUUUCAAAACAGGCAAAUGAAACAUGGGAUGCAACCACCGACAGCAAAGAAGGAACCAAAAAAACAAAAGAUCAGAGCAAAACGAAUAGGACACUGCAGAUCAGGGUAGUGGGGUCCUUCAACAAAGAAACAAACCAUAACGAUUCCCCAGUGGAAGCUUCUUUGAGUCAAAAGUGGGGAAGAUUGCCCUUGGCGUAUUCUUCUUCCGGUCACCCACUCUGUAGCCCACUUAAACAAACAAAAAAGAAAGAAAAGAAAAGAAAAGAAAAGAAAGAAAGAAACAUGCUCAAGAUUUCAAAAUUGGCAAGUUAUCUUAUGUGGAUCAGCUUAAGAGUUUGUUUGGGCAGAAGUUAGGUCAUGAAAAUGAUGUAGCAACCUAGGAGUGAAGGGUAAGUCAGUAAAUGGGGUGGAAAAAUCGAAAAAGACAUUUCUUGCAAAUUGUGUCUCACACAAUAAGCCAUGUUGCCCACUGAUUUUCUCUCAUUUUAUUUAAAUUUACUCAAUCUUUUUGGUGGAAGCUAUGUCAUUGUUGUGACUAAAUUUAAUUAUUUCAAACUUUUUCAACUUGUCACACUUCACUGUAACUAUAGACAAUAUUGGAUGAAGCCUUUAGUCAUGCUGUGUAAAGGUUAAAAGCAAAGAGGAUGCUCCCGAGCAAAUCCUCCAUGCUAAAGCUUAUCUUGGUAAGGGGACAAUUUGAGUAUCAAAGAUAGGGGAUAUCUCGUUUCAAGUGUAGAAGGUUGUCCACAUCUGCAGGCAUAAAGAUUAUAAAAAAAAAAAAGAAAAAAAGAUCAAGACAAUUUGGUGGUUAGGGAAUGUGCACCCUUUGGUAAGUGUGGUAUGUUUGGGCUAAUUAUCAAAUAGUGAAUGUAGAUCACAUGCCUAUGUCAAAGUAUGAGAUGACACAUGAUGGAGCAAGUAUUUCAGUAACUUUUGUGUUUAUUAUUUUAUUUCAGGAAUAGUAGUUAGAUGAUUAAGUGAGAAAUUAUAGGUAUAUGUGAUGCACAUUUAUGAGCUGCCUUCCUUAUAGAAUGCAACACUUAAAGCAGCAGAUGAUUAUUUAAUAAAUCAUACCUAAAAGGAGGCAUAGCAAGGUAAGUAGAUAGGUGAGCAUGUUAUAUCAUCCAUUGCAGGAAUUUCUAUACAAGAAUACUGUUGGAGUAUAACUAUAUCUUAAAAUUUCACCUUGAAUAAGCCCCUGGAACAGCUGCCUGCCAUUGUGUUCUAGAUCCUUGCGCUGUUAAGAAUGUCACAACGAGAUACCUUGAAAAAGCAAUAUUCUAAUAUAUUGUCACAAGCUAGCCGUUUUGAGAAUAUCAUAUCAUAUUGUUUCUACUCUGCAUGGUUGAAUUAUUAUUGCUUGUAUAUGUAAACACAGUAGCAUCCCCCAUAUUUGUUUCUCUUGUUUUUUGUGCUUAUGUAUUCACAUAUCGGUUUGUUGUUUCUUUUUGUUUAAAACUAAAUCCUAUCAAAAACUCAACAUGUUGUUCCUACUGAGACUACUUUCUACAGUAUUAAUUAUCUGAGUUGAUCCUAAAUUUCAGCUUUUAUCUCAAAUCUGAUCCUGUGGCAAAGAUUUUAAUCGGCUUUUCAACUUUAAUGAUUGCUUGUGACUGUCAUCCUGUGGUCCCAGCUGGAGAAUAAACUGUCACAUUAUCAUUUUUAAGAUCUAGAUGGAAACAUUCCAAUCUAACAUUAAAUGCAAGGAUUUUUUUUUUUCUCCUUGGCCCAGGUAGAAUUUUGAAAAUUGACUGAAAUGAAGAGAGAUUUUCAAAAGGGGAGAGAGAUUAUGCCUUCCCCUAGUUAUCAGUCCUGAAAUCAUACUGAAUCCAACUUGGGUCCUGCAACUGAUACAGUCCAAAACGUAUACUUGAUGGGAUCCAAAAUCACCCUCAACGAGAGGAUUAAAAUACUCCCAUCUUGGACCUACGUUGAUCAAUACACCACCUACACCCCUGGUUAACCAGGGGGCCUACAUUUAUCAAUGUACCUAUUGAAAUUAGAGUUACACUGACGCGUAUACUCUACCCAACUGCCAACUACAGAUACUACAGGUCUUUUUUAAAGCGGCGUCUUUGUUGUUCUGAUCACUUAUGUUCAGAAGGCACAUGACACAAUAUCUGCUCCAGACCUGAUAUUAUUUCUCCUGGUUGGAUUUCAAAACAAUAACAUAUUGUGGCUAAUGUUGGCCUUCCAUGUGGACUUGCUAGCAUCAUCAAUUAGGAAGAAACUUGAAACAUGUACAUCUCUUUCUAAUAUCUAUCUUAUAUCUUUAUAUUUGUCCUAAAUAUUAAUUAAGUUUGUCUCAUUGCAGUGACUACAGGUCCACUCUUACUCAUUAAUGUAGUCUUUUUUUUUCUUUUUUUUUUCAUUUUUUUGUUGGCCAUCUCAUCUUAAAGAUAUAUGGUGGGGAAAUAAAUUGUAGGGCACCCUUCCUACCAACUUCCUUCAGUCGAAGUCGGUUGCUUGGCCCACUGAGCCAGGCUGCCCCAAUCAAUGGACCUUAGCCCCAAGUUGGUCAAAUUUAAGGACUCUUUUUUUCCUAGUUAAUAUCCACAGGAUCCUUGGGUGAACCUAAAAAGAACUGCUGCAUGAAUGAUUUUGAGUUAAUUUAUGACUUGAACCAAAGACAGCUUAGAGGUCUAGAUGAGAUUUCUUGAUAACUUUUCCGGGAUCUUGCGAAGGAUAGGUAAUAGGAAAUGUAGGAAAACAUGAGGGCAUAAAGAUAAGAGUACAUGAAAUGUGUGAGAUUUUAAACAGUGCUGAUAAUAAAGUUCACUAUGAUGAAGUGAGAUGUCCUUGUUUUCUUCUAAGUUCAGAGGAAAAGAAGAUGCUGGAAAGCUCAACAUGAACUGAGUGACUUUUAGUGUGUUUACGGUUAAUUUAUGAAGGUUUUACUUGCACUUUGAUUGUAUCAAGCUUCCAUGAACAAUGAAAUAGUCCACUAAUUAGGGAGAUGCAGUUGGAAUCUUUCAAGAGUAUAUGUUCCUUUCUAGAAGGCAUUGCUCCUUUAAUUUUGUUGAAAUUUUAUUGUUGAUGUACUGAUGGACCACAAAACGUACGAAGGCAACGCUCCCACGAAAAAAUGGAGGAAACAGUGAUAAGUCUCUUGAAACACCACCAAAAGACGUACCAUUGGACUAUUUAGCACCCUUCUGUUAGAUCCUUCAAUACACCCCUUUCAUUUGAAAUGGAUUAUAACAAACAAGACAAAAUAAUUUAUCGGACAGUGCUAUAUACAGUACUACAGAAAAAGCCAAGGAUCAUUUAUCACCUUUCAAUUUCACUGCAGAAGAUCUAAAUCCUGUAAGUAAUUCUUCUCUGCUCUUGUAAGUAAUUCUCAUUAAUAAAUUUGGGUGGCAGGGCCUCCCUUUUCCUUUCAGAAAAGAAAAAAUAAUAAUGGAGUUCUUUUUUUUUUUUUAACUAGAGAAUUGCUACAAAGGUGCAAACAUUUUACACAGUUGCAAAUCCCUUUACCCAACCCUUUCAAACCAUUAGUCCAACUUCUUCAAUUCACGGAAUACCAAGUAUCAUUUCCUAGAGAUCGAAAUAACACUUUACACAAAAUAGUGCAUGAAUUUGAAUGACCAAAUUUCUCCCUUGCACUAAAAUCAUAUAAAUUACUCAAUUAUUCGAUCGUCGUUUAGAAGAAGAAAGAAAACCAUUCUCUCUCUAAUGAAGUCUAUACUCUUAUCAAAUUAUCUUUCUUUUAAUAAUUCCAAACUUGGUAAGGAUGCCAUCGAAAGUGUUUCACUUUGUUUAUUGGCCCCAGGUAGUCGAAAUCCUACUUGAUUAGGUUUCCCAUAAAAUUAGUAGUUCGGAUUUUUGGUCAGGGUGAAGAAAAGAAAGAGAAAUUGAGCCACCUUUUUUUUUUUGAUAGAACUCGAGUCACUUUUUACUGAACAGAAUAACCCAUCAUUUGACACUUAAAAAAUUGAAACAGGUGGUCAGCCUCAUUAAGUGAGUUGGUCCUCGAUUCUUUUUAACUUAAUUACUGCAAGACAGGCCUCUUUCUUUUUCCAGCCCUGCUCCCUAUAUUCUCCUUCAUCACGAGAGAGAGAUUCCAACACCCAUUCAAAUCGAAUUAAGUACUAGGAAGGAAGCUGCAUCCAUCUUUCCUCACUUGAUGUUGAUAUACGAGCCAGCUUAUGCAUUAGCCCAAAAUAAUGUGUGAACUGAACAAUAAUAUCAAGAACACUUACCACAUCACACCUCAAUCCACUGACAGAUCCAAGCUCAGCAGCUCUGAUACCACGAUAAAACAAGCGAAGAAAGAGAAGAUCUCUAUGUAUCCAAUUGUGUCUGAAUUUCUUAUUUACAAAUAGCAUGUACAGAAUGUAUAUAAAGCCCAGCUAUAACGGAUUUUGAGGAUAAUGGUAACUCUAUUAAUUGGACAAAUUGGUUACAUUGACACAGCUCGGUGCUUAUCACGAACAACAGUAGGACACGUUUAUCUCUGCUUUCUUCUCAUGCUACCCAUGUCAUAUCACCUGAGGAAACCAAUGCAGAAGCUGCCAUCUUUACACACCCAUCAAACCAAACUCUAUUUUCACCAUCUCAAAUUAUAUAUGAUAAAAAAAAAAGGGUAUAUUAAAAUUAGAAAAAAAAAAAAUGGAAAGCAGAAGAAGAAGAAGAAUAAAGAUGGCUGUGGUAGAGAAAGCAAGGGAGAGCAUGAGCUAUGCUGAUAUAAACUGAAGCCAUGUUAUUCUUAACAUAGACGAGACCUGAUAUCUAGCUAUUACAUUCUCAAUUUUCGUUUUCCUUCUUCUUUGGUAGAUGAGGAACACUAGCACAAAUGUCACACUCCCAAACCGGAC
Molecule: long non-coding RNA, 6843 nt
Filed under: Elaeis guineensis (African oil palm)
Lineage: Eukaryota; Viridiplantae; Streptophyta; Magnoliopsida; Arecales; Arecaceae
Description: long non-coding RNA (EGUI_LNC011738)
Source: RNAcentral